This 292-nucleotide ribosomal RNA is filed under the name uncultured bacterium. RNAcentral describes it as "partial 16S ribosomal RNA". It matches the Rfam family "Bacterial small subunit ribosomal RNA", at positions 505 to 796 of the family's 1533-position model. The record is from RNAcentral.
GUGUCAGCCGCCGCGGUAAUACGGAGGGGGCGAGCGUUGUUCGGAAUCAUUGGGCGUAAAGGGCGCGUAGGCGGCCUAGCAAGUCGGGUGUGAAAUCCCUCGGCUCAACCGAGGAACCGCACUCGAUACUGCUGGGCUAGAGUCCGGGAGGGGAUGGUGGAAUUCCCAGUGUAGCGGUGAAAUGCGUAGAUAUUGGGAAGAACACCGGUGGCGAAGGCGGCCAUCUGGACCGGUACUGACGCUGAGGCGCGAAAGCUAGGGGAGCGAAUGGGAUUAGAAACCCCCGUAGUCC